GAUCCCGUUUUUCUCCUCUCUGCCUCCCAGGUUGAUCCUGCCUGAAUACCUGAAACUCUGGAGAGUUUCUCUGCCGGUGAUCUGUCUGCUCGUUCUCAGUAGGACUCUGGAGAGCAGCCUCAGUCAAGUAUCUGCCUGCCCGCUCUCAGAAGAUUACUGGAAGGAAAACUCAAUCUGUGAUCUGCCUGCACUCAGUAAGCUCUGCCUCCGCCUCUGCCCUCAGCCUGCCGACAACCUCUGGACCCUCAAGGUUCCCCCCCUCUGCAGCUCUGCUCCAUUUCCAAACAGCAGUGAACCCACUCGUGACCAGUCAAGCCCCCUCUUGGAUCUGAACAUACUUUGUACAUUUAUUAUUAAUAAAUCUUUGAACUUUUUCA
Cyprinodon tularosa is the source of this 377-nucleotide long non-coding RNA. RefSeq lists it as uncharacterized. Lineage: Eukaryota; Metazoa; Chordata; Actinopteri; Cyprinodontiformes; Cyprinodontidae. The record is from RefSeq and is a predicted model, not a curated record. The transcript has 2 exons.